This 253-nucleotide ribosomal RNA is filed under the name uncultured bacterium. RNAcentral describes it as "partial 16S ribosomal RNA". It matches the Rfam family "Bacterial small subunit ribosomal RNA", at positions 524 to 776 of the family's 1533-position model. The record is from RNAcentral.
UACGAAGGGGGCUAGCGUUAUUCGGAAUCACUGGGCGUAAAGCGCACGCAGGCGGCUUGAUAAGUCGGGGGUGAAAGCCCGGGGCUCAACCUCGGAAUUGCCUUCGAUACUGUCGGUCUCGAGUCCGGGAGAGGUGAGGGGAAUUCCUAGUGUAGAGGUGAAAUUCGUAGAUAUUAGGAAGAACACCAGUGGCGAAGGCGGCUCUCUGGACGGGUACUGACGCUCAGGUGCGAAAGCGUGGGGAGCAAACAGG